RNAcentral lists this ribosomal RNA (433 nucleotides) under uncultured bacterium. RNAcentral's name for it is "partial 16S ribosomal RNA". It matches the Rfam family "Bacterial small subunit ribosomal RNA", at positions 29 to 507 of the family's 1533-position model. The record is from RNAcentral.
AGCGAACGCUGGCGGCAGGCCUAACACAUGCAAGUCGAACGGACCCUUCGGAGUUAGUGGCGGACGGGUGAGUAACACGUGGGAACGUGCCUUUAGGUUCGGAAUAGCUCCUGGAAACGGGUGGUAAUGCCGAAUGUGCCCUUCGGGGGAAAGAUUUAUCGCCUUUAGAGCGGCCCGCGUCUGAUUAGCUAGUUGGUGAGGUAACGGCUCACCAAGACGACGAUCAGUAGCUGGUCUGAGAGGAUGACCAGCCACACUGGGACUGAGACACGGCCCAGACUCCUACGGGAGGCAGCAGUGGGGAAUCUUGCGCAAUGGGCGAAAGCCUGACGCAGCCAUGCCGCGUGAAUGAUGAAGGUCUUAGGAUUGUAAAAUUCUUUCACCGGGGACGAUAAUGACGGUACCCGGAGAAGAAGCCCCGGCUAACUUCGUG